AACGAACGCUGGCGGCAAUGCCUAACACAUGCAAGUCGAACGAGACCUUCGGGUCUAGUGGCGCACGGGUGCGUAACGCGUGGGAAUCUGCCCUUGGGUUCGGAAUAACAGCGAGAAAUUGCUGCUAAUGCUGGAUGAUGACGUAAGUCCAAAGAUUUAUCGCCCAAGGAUGAGCCCGCGUAGGAUUAGCUAGUUGGUGAGGUAAAGGCUCACCAAGGCGACGAUCCCUUAGCUGGUCUGAGAGGAUGAUCAGCCACACUGGGACUGAGACACGGCCCAGACUCCUACGGGAGGCAGCAGUGGGGAAUAUUGGACAAUGGGCGAAAGCCUGAUCCAGCAAUGCCGCGUGAGUGAUGAAGGCCUUAGGGUUGUAAAGCUCUUUUACCCCGGGAUGAUAAUGACAGUACCGGGAGAAUAAGCUCCGGCUAACUCCGUG
Molecule: ribosomal RNA, 436 nt
Filed under: uncultured bacterium
Lineage: Bacteria
Description: bacterial SSU rRNA
Rfam family: Bacterial small subunit ribosomal RNA
Source: RNAcentral